Long non-coding RNA from Ostrea edulis (European flat oyster), 4226 nucleotides. RefSeq lists it as uncharacterized. The record is from RefSeq and is a predicted model, not a curated record. Lineage: Eukaryota; Metazoa; Mollusca; Bivalvia; Ostreida; Ostreidae. The transcript is spliced from 3 exons.
AGAGAAUAUUUCAGCAAUAUGAAGUGCGACACAUUUAGACGCAUGCAUGUGGUGUUUGAAGGUCUCAUCUGAAAGACCAGCAACUUUCUCUUUUGAAUGCUAAAUAUGACGAUGGAGCAUUCACCUCACUACCUACAUUUACACCCUAAAUAAAGUACAUUAGCAUGGCUCGAAACCAUGAUUUCUUCAUCAUGAAGCAAAUGCUCUGUUACCACUGAGCUACCAAUUUUUUAACAUGAAUUCAUAGCUAAAAAUUUUAAAAAUUUAUAACUAAUUUUUUGGUUAAUUCCAUAAAUAUUAUUCCUCUCUUUAGACACAAUUCUGGGUAACCCCCUGCCUUUGGGCUUUCAGAAUGGGACAAUGUCAGGAGAGCUUUUGUUAUUUGUUAUACUCUUAGUGUUGAUGGCAUCUAUGAACAACAGGAUAAUGUUUUUAGAUUAUUAUUUCUGAUAUCAUAUUUGUAAAUUGUUUAUGAGGGGUUGUUAAAGUUUGUGGACAAAAGGACACACUUAUUAAAAAUUCAAAGUUAUGAUAAGUAAAAAAUAUAGGAGAUGUGUAACAAGAUUGUAGAUUUGAACAUUUUAAUUUUAAUUAAUUUUUAUAAGUAUUGAUUUCAGAUACAUGUAUGACAUUGCAUGCUUGAUCGGGGAGGGGGGCUACAGUUAGAUAAUAUUCUGGUCAGCACAUUCGAUAAACUACAGUUGUACAUGGACCUCAUUAAAUCACUUCUUUUUCUUUCAGUGGUCUUCAACUUUUAAUCUCUAAGAAGGAAAUGUAAUUAAAAGAUGAAUAAAGUAUCCCUAAGAAUACCAGAAGAAAGGCUGUGUUGAGAAAAACAGCCCUUCCUCAGUACCUCAGAACUAGAUGAUAGCCCUUGUUACUUUAUGCUGAAUAUGACACAGUAUAGAAGAUCUGAUCAUGAAGAAGUUACACCAUUGAUACACUUGCCAACUGCCAAAACUACUUUCUGAUAGUAUGACGAGAUUAGAAGAUAUCAUGGUGUAGUCAUGACACAAACUGCAAAUCAAAGAUUGUCUUCCCCAGAGGAUGAACAGAGUGCUUCACAUGGAUAACAUUUCCUUUUCGAGUUUUGAAAUUAUCAAACAUAAUUUUGCAUCAAAGAGAAAAAGUGGCUUUGACAUAACCUAGAAAAUACAAUAUUCAUUAAAAAGAGCAUGGCACCAGGAUAGCUAGAUGCCCAUAUUCCCAGCAAAAUGAGCCAGUCCUAAAGAGAGUCCACUAGAGAUGAAAUAAAACGCAUUAAAAUGUAUUGAGAAAAGAUUUGUCAGAAUGUUAUACAUCAUGAUCAACAGAAAAGAACUUCACAGGUAGACCAAAGCUGACAUGGGAUGAGAUCCUAAAACGAGACCUAGAGUUUAGAGGAUUGGAUAGGAUCAAUCCACUGGGUCGCCAAGUGUAGAAGUACAAACUUCAACCUCGACAGGACAGCCAGGCCUCACCCUUGCAAAACUAUUAAUUUGGCCUGGAUAGUCAAAAUGAGUGAUGAUGAUGAUAUCAAGGUCUGACACUGUAAGCUCAGUAAGGGUAGAUGCUGGCAAUGGAGCUGUUAAGCAAUACAACAAACAGGUUUAACAUUGAACAUGUUUAUAUACUUUUUAGCUCACCUGAGCCAAAGGCUCAAAUGAGCUUUUCUGAUCACCUUUGCCUGUCGUCUGUCUCUCUGUAAACUUUUCACAUUUUCAUUUUCUUCUCCAGAGUGAACCACUGGGCCAGUUUCAAUCAAACUUGGUAUGCAUCAUCAAUAGAUAAGGGGUAUGCAAAAAUAGGGUGGGGUCAUUUAAAAAACCUUUUCAAGAACCACUGGACCAGGAAAGUUGAAUUCACAUAAAAGUUUCCUGUUUUGUGCAAAUCAUGGUAUCCGGGGGUAGGGUGAGGUCACAAUCGAGGAUCAAAGUUUUACAUUCAUAUAUAGUACAGAUUCAAGUUUGUUAAAGGUCAUGGCUCACAGGGGUAGAGUGGGGUCACAAUAGGGGAUCUAAGUUUUAUAUGUGAAAUAUAUACAAGGAAAAUUUUUUAAAAUCUUCUCCUAAAAAACUAGAUGCAGAACUAAACCCAAAAUUGUAGCUCUUUGAGAAGAUAUUGGGGCAAGUCAGAGUGCUAGAGCUUCAGAUGAGCCCCUUAUUAAAAAUCUUCAAUUUACGGCACAGAAAAAAAGUGCAUGGUUAAGUCCCUCUAUCACUGCAUUCCUGCAUCGCUGUCUCAUGAAUUUAAUAUUAAAUAAUUCCUAACAUAUUUUCCCACUAUACUUGUUUCCAAGCAUACUUUCAAAUAUUCCUUAAACCCACAUAUAACCUAAAAACUCACAGCUUCAAGUGAUUUUCUUUGUUGAUGUAGCCAUGUUAGGUAUACGUAGCCAGUCAAUUUGAACCCCAGUUCAUUUCCAUACUCGUACUCAUUUUGAAACAUAAUGUCUGUGUGAACUAAUAUCCCCACAAAUAUUUUUAGUGAAAUAUUUUGGAUGAAAUCAUCCCAGUUGGGUUAAAUACUUAUUAUUCAAAAACUGUAGGUUUGAAUAUUGAACUAAUCUCACAGCUUUCUUAAGAUUGGUCCCCAUCCACUCCAGUCUGUUUUUACGCUUAGCUAUUGAAAUGGAGUGUAAGGGAUCGGACUAGGCUUUAAUAGCAUUAUCAAUUUUCAAAAGCUUUAGAAAAAUUAUACAAUUUUAGGUCACUUGAGUAAACUCAGAUGACAUAUUGCUAUUGGUCUGCGUCCGUUGUAGUCCAUCGAUGUUAACAAUUGAAUAUUUUUAACUAAAUUCUAUAACUGAAAGGUGAAGAUAACGAACAGCGAUCAAUCUACGAUUCGAAUAACAGAAUUCUUUUCAAAUUUAGUAUGAAGCACACAAAUUUACAUUAAACCUUCCUGCCAUAGUGCAUAUUCAAGUUUGUUAAAAUCAUUUCCCGGGAGGUAUGGUGUGGUAACAAUAGGGGAUCAAAGUUUUAUAUGCUGAUACAUGUAUAUUUAAAGGAAAAAUCUUUAAAGAUAUCUCUUGAACUAUUUAAGCUAGAGCUUUCAUAUCUUGUAUAUACAAUUUUUAUGGCAAAACAAAUCUGACCUAUUCAGUGUGUCCUGAACUACAUUGUGUUUAAGGUAAAACUUAUAUGGUACCAAUUUUGAUGCACCAGAUGCGCAUUUCGACAAAUAAUGUCUCUUCAGUGGUUGGCGUGGGUUCGAAUCCUGCUUGCACCGGUAAGUGAGAAAGUUUCCCAGUUUACUCUCGGAAGGUCAGUGGGGUUCUCUCUUCCACCAAUAAAAACUGGGCACCACCAGCUAACUGAAAAAUUGUUGAGUGUGGCGGAAAACAGCUAAAACAAUCAAUCAUAUUAUGUUCUUUGACCUUGUGACCCUGAACUCUGAGUUUGACCUACUUUUAAGAAAGUAUAACUUAUUAAGUAUAUCCAGGACUAUUUUAGAUAGGGCUUUCAUGUAUUGUAUAUAGAUUACUUAUGGCAAAGUCUUUCAUAUUAUACCAAGACCUAUGACUUCAUACCUUGGUCUUAUCCAGAACAGCAAUAUCAUGCUUGUCAUAUCUUUGUGUUAUAUGAUUUCAUUUUAGUAAUGUUGUGUUCUUUAGAGGUAGGUUUGGGUCACAUUAUUCAUGAGAAUAAAGAUUGAUAAAAUAGCAUUUAAAAAUCAAAACAGCAGGGCCAAGGUGACUUAGGUGAGCGAUGUGGCCCCUGGGCCUCUUGUUGAUUUUGAUAUUUGUACAGAUAUCAUUUGUAUGAGAAAUGGAACUCUUUUUUUUUCUUUUACAAAUACAUGUAUUAUCAUAUGGAUCCAUCUGUGUUGAUUAUUUAAUCAAAGGACUACAUUCAAUGUAUUAAAUGCAAAUUUAUUGAUAUGUCUGUGGUUGAAUUACUCAUGUAUGUAUACAUUUUUUUGGCACAUGCAAUUACAUAUAUAAUGUAUAUAUAUAUAUAUAUAUAUAUAUAUAUAUAUACUAAUUGUACAUAUAACAUCUCCUGUAAUAUAAUAAAAUAUAUGACUGAGAAUAAAAGACCUGCUGUUUUCAUUGCUACCAUGGAACAUUAAAAGAUUAGAAUAAUUCAAAUAUCUUAAUGAAUUCUGUAAUAUAUGAAUUUGAUAUUUGUAUACAAUUGCCUCACUGGUGUUGAAUGUGAACUUUGGUUUAUCAUUUCAGUUUGCUCUUUAUAUCAAAUCAAAAUUUAAGACAAAUAAGGAAUUAUUUCCGAAAUUGGUUAAUA